RNAcentral lists this ribosomal RNA (616 nucleotides) under Planktothrix isothrix BRVA072915. RNAcentral describes it as "bacterial SSU rRNA". It matches the Rfam family "Bacterial small subunit ribosomal RNA", at positions 120 to 770 of the family's 1533-position model. Lineage: Bacteria; Bacillati; Cyanobacteriota; Cyanophyceae; Oscillatoriales; Microcoleaceae. The record is from RNAcentral. RNAcentral also lists the same sequence under 1 other name.
AGAACCUGCCUCUAGGACGGGGACAACAGUUGGAAACGACUGCUAAACCCGGAUGAGCCGAAAGGUAAAAGAUUAAUCGCCUAGAGAGGGGCUUGCGUCUGAUUAGCUAGUUGGUAAGGUAAAAGCUUACCAAGGCGACGAUCAGUAGCUGGUCUGAGAGGAUGAUCAGCCACACUGGGACUGAGACACGGCCCAGACUCCUACGGGAGGCAGCAGUGGGGAAUUUUCCGCAAUGGGCGCAAGCCUGACGGAGCAAGACCGCGUGGGGGAGGAAGGUUCUUGGAUUGUCAACCCCUUUUCUCAGGGAAGAAGCUCUGACGGUACCUGAGGAAAAAGCAUCGGCUAACUCCGUGCCAGCAGCCGCGGUAAUACGGGGGAUGCAAGCGUUAUCCGGAAUGAUUGGGCGUAAAGAGUCCGUAGGUAGCCCCUCAAGUCUGCUGUUAAAGAGCGAGGCUUAACUUCGUAAAGGCAGUGGAAACUGUGGAGCUAGAGUAUAGUAGGGGCAGAGGGAAUUCCUGGUGUAGCGGUGAAAUGCGUAGAGAUCAGGAAGAACACCGGUGGCGAAAGCGCUCUGCUGGGCUAAAACUGACACUGAGGGACGAAAGCUAGGGGAGCG